GCGAAUGGCUCAUUAAAUCAGUUAUCGUCUAUUUGAUAGUACCUUACUACUUGGAUAACCGUGGUAAUUCUAGAGCUAAUACAUGCUGCAAAGCCCGACUUCGGAAGGGUUGUAUUUAUUAGAUUAAAAACCAAUGCCCUCCGGGGCUCACUGGUGAUUCAUGAUAACUUCUCGAAUCGCACGGCCUUGCGCCGGCGAUGGUUCAUUCAAAUUUCUGCCCUAUCAACUUUCGACGGCUGGGUAUUGGCCAGCCGUGGUGACAACGGGUAACGGAGGGUUAGGGCUCGACCCCGGAGAAGGAGCCUGAGAAACGGCUACUACAUCCAAGGAAGGCAGCAGGCGCGCAAAUUACCCAAUCCCGACACGGGGAGGUAGUGACAAUAAAUACUGAUACAGGGCUCUUUUGGGUCUUGUAAUUGGAAUGAGUACAAUUUAAUUCCCUUAACGAGGAACAAUUGGAGGGCAAGUCUGGUGCCAGCAGCCGCGGUAAUUCCAGCUCCAAUAGCGUAUAUUAAAGUUGUUGCAGUUAAAAAGCUCGUAGUUGAACCUUGGGCCUGGCUGGCCGGUCCGCCUCACCGCGUGCACUGGUCCGGCCGGGCCUUUCCCUCUGGGGAGCCGCAUGCCCUUCACUGGGCGUGCCGGGGAACCAGGACGUUUACUUUGAAAAAAUUAGAGUGUUCAAAGCAGGCUUAUGCUCGGAUACAUUAGCAUGGAAUAAUGGAAUAGGACGCGUGGUUCUAUUUUGUUGGUUUCUAGGACCGCCGUAAUGAUUAAUAGGGACAGUCGGGGGCAUCAGUAUUCAGCUGUCAGAGGUGAAAUUCUUGGAUUUGCUGAAGACUAACUACUGCGAAAGCAUUUGCCAAGGAUGUUUUCAUUAAUCAGGAACGAAAGUUAGGGGAUCGAAGACGAUCAGAUACCGUCGUAGUCUUAACCAUAAACUAUGCCGACUAGGGAUCGGACGGUGUUAUUCUUUGACCCGUUCGGCACCUUACACGAA
Molecule: ribosomal RNA, 997 nt
Filed under: Raffaelea subalba
Lineage: Eukaryota; Fungi; Ascomycota; Sordariomycetes; Ophiostomatales; Ophiostomataceae
Description: SSU rRNA
Rfam family: Eukaryotic small subunit ribosomal RNA
Source: RNAcentral